UGAGCAACCUGCCCUCAGCUUUGGGAUAACCCUCGGAAACGGGGCUAAUACCGGAUAUUCACUGCUUCGCGCAUGUGGGGUGGUGGAAAGUUUUUCGGCUGGGGAUGGGCUCGCGGCCUAUCAGCUUGUUGGUGGGGUGAUGGCCUACCAAGGCGACGACGGGUAGCCGGCCUGAGAGGGCGACCGGCCGCACUGGGACUGAGACACGGCCCAGACUCCUACGGGAGGCA
RNAcentral lists this ribosomal RNA (230 nucleotides) under uncultured bacterium. Its description in RNAcentral is "partial 16S ribosomal RNA". It matches the Rfam family "Bacterial small subunit ribosomal RNA", at positions 118 to 350 of the family's 1533-position model. The record is from RNAcentral.